CUACAAUCGAACAAGCAACAAAAUCCAACAAAAUUAACUCAACAUAUCUAACUUACUCAGAACAAUUGAGAUCAAUUCGAUCAACCCAUUAAUCACUGUUAACAACAGUAAAAAAAAUAAUAAAAAAAAUUGUAGCCAAAAGGAGAUGGAGAAAAUAUGGGGUUCCUAUUACAGCCAAUGGUCUAUGCAUCUUGGACCAAAAACAAACAUAAGCAGAAAAAAAUAAAAAAAAAUAAAAAAGAUAGCAUUGAAGAGAUUGAAGUGAGAAGAUUUGCAUCAAUGGUAUUUGGAUCAAACCCACCCUAUUACAGCCAAUGGUCUUUGCAUCAAACCCACCUUUUCCUUCCAUUUUUCUUGUUCCUAUUUCCAAGAGAGAGAUUGAAGUGAGCAGAUAUCUUGAAAUAUGAGAUAGCAUCAGAGAAGAAGAUGACUAGAAGAAUAGAAGAAGAAAGGGGGCUCUAGAAGAAAAAAAAAAUAAAAAAUAAGACACAAAGACAGAAAUAGAGGAAGAGAGAAGAGAGAGC
RNAcentral lists this long non-coding RNA (524 nucleotides) under Prunus dulcis (almond). RNAcentral describes it as "sRNA ncRNA". The record is from RNAcentral. Lineage: Eukaryota; Viridiplantae; Streptophyta; Magnoliopsida; Rosales; Rosaceae.